This 237-nucleotide ribosomal RNA is filed under the name uncultured bacterium. Its description in RNAcentral is "partial 16S ribosomal RNA". It matches the Rfam family "Bacterial small subunit ribosomal RNA", at positions 100 to 334 of the family's 1533-position model. The record is from RNAcentral.
CCGGCACGGGUGAGUAACACGUAUCCAACCUGCCGUCUACUCUUGGACAGCCUUCUGAAAGGAAGAUUAAUACAAGAUGGCAUCAUGAGUCCGCAUGUUCACAUGAUUAAAGGUAUUCCGGUAGACGAUGGGGAUGCGUUCCAUUAGAUAGUAGGCGGGGUAACGGCCCACCUAGUCUUCGAUGGAUAGGGGUUCUGAGAGGAAGGUCCCCCACAUUGGGACUGAGACACGGUCCAA